GGACAUGGCAUGGAACGUGUGUGCGGAAAAGUUCGAACAUCAAGUGACCCUUGAAGCGCUACAACACUUAAAUGCACUCUUUCAGGAGUAUGAGAAAAGAGGAAGACAGCUGUUGGAUAUGGAGACUUUCAAAUGCAUAAUGAAGCAGAGCAUGAGGUUACAGAAUAAAAGUACUGAACAAAUAGAACAACUUUUCAUGAAAAUAGACUAUGAAGCAGUGGGCAGAAUUCAUUGGGAUGGCUUCUGCACAUAUCUGCAGUUAGCAUAUUCAGAGCAAGCUGAUGCUUUGGCUCGACAGAAAGAGGUUUCCUUCCAGCUGCCUGCUGUGCUGCAGGGACUGUCGUACGGGGGACCCGUGCUGCGCAUUCUCUCUGUGCCUGAUGACACCUUAAUCAUGAUCAGAGAAGAUGGAGCCAUUUAUUUCUGGUCCCUGCAGCUGAAGUUGAAAAGAAGAAAGCGAGUUUUUGACAAGCCCAUCAUUCGGAAGCGCCGGUGGGUGACGGAUGCCACCAGCAUGCCACAGUACAACAAACUGAUCCUAGGAACUGGAAACCGCGAAAUCCAGCUGUAUGAGUUCUCUAACUUGGAGCCUUACUGUCAGAUUGGUGGCCUGGAAGCUGUCCCUCUGAAACUGGACUACUGGUACGAGGAUCCUGACAAGUGCCUGAUUCUCUAUGGUGAUGACCAGGCUGAAAAAAAAACUUAAAAUGAAGGUUGCCUUAAAGAGUUCAUGUUGCCAUCUAGCAAAGUGAUGAGUUGUGCUCCAGAGGGAAAUAAGUUCAGAAGCAUUGGCUGUGCCUGUCUCACCUAACAUCGCCUCACCAUCCUUCAUCGGCUUUCAGAGUCUUCACGGUUUGGAAUCAGGGAUGAGCAUAAGGGAAGCUACAUUGGCAACAUGGCGACAAAAGCAAGGGAAACUCAGUUCAUCAUCAUCAUAUCACAAAGGCUGUCUCCACGAGCGACUUUCCUUGGGCUUCUUCUUUUGUUGCAUCUAGCCCAGGCUUGUGCACUUGAAGAUCAUUUGAUAAUAUUCAUCAGUGUUAUGUUCAGCAUGCUAACCGGUUUCUUAAGAAGGGCAGUA
RNAcentral lists this long non-coding RNA (1081 nucleotides) under Sus scrofa (pig). RNAcentral describes it as "lncRNA (ENSSSCG00015040303.1, ENSSSCG00185013548.1)". The record is from RNAcentral. Lineage: Eukaryota; Metazoa; Chordata; Mammalia; Artiodactyla; Suidae.